GGUGAUGUAGCUCAGCUGGUUAGAGCGCAGGAUUCAUAAUCCUGAGGUCGAGAGUUCAAGUCUCUCCAUCACCACCA
Molecule: transfer RNA, 77 nt
Filed under: beta proteobacterium KB13
Lineage: Bacteria; Pseudomonadati; Pseudomonadota; Betaproteobacteria; Nitrosomonadales
Also listed under: 11 other names
Description: tRNA-Met
Rfam family: tRNA
About the family: Transfer RNA (tRNA) molecules are approximately 80 nucleotides in length.
Source: RNAcentral